GCCACUUAAAUCUGCCUGCUGAGACAAGUAAGAUGCUGUCUCCAAAGCCUGGAUGGUUGCCAGCACAUUUUCUUCUUUACUGAGGCGAGCCGUAAGAGCACUAAGCGCUUCCUGAGAUGCUAAAGGAAGGCCAAAGCUGCUCAGGGCCCCAACAGCAUGGAAGAUCUGGGUGAUUGAAGAAUCCUCACUGACAGCGGCAAGCAGCAGCUCCCUGGUCUCAUUUGAAAUGGUAACCUCGCAACCAGACAGGACCCGGAUAGACUGUGCAGCAUAGAAAAGGGAAUCAACACUGCUGGAGUCCACAUGGGAUUUGACAAAAUUGCAUGCAGCCUUUUCGUCCGCCACGCGCAGCCCCAGGCUGUGGAGGCCCACAAUGGAGUAGUAGGCGGCCUGCAGGUCGGUGAAGGGCCGCUCCAGAGCCGCCCGCAGUCGGGCCAGGUCUCGCGCGGUGAGGUGGUGGCUGGGGGCGAGGGCCUGGGCACCGACGAGGAGGAGCAGCAGGGCCGCCACCAGGCACAGCCGCCGGCCCGGCGCCGCCAUCUUGUUGCCGCUGCCCGCUGGGCCACGGCGCCGCUUCCGGCCCGGCGCGCACCACCGCGUCACGGGGGGGGGAGGAGCGAUGGCGUCGUCCUCCAAGGGACCCCGGCACCACGAGCACCAAACGAGGACGACAUGAAGCUGUAGAAAAGCGUUGAAGCUCCAGGGCCGGGCGAGCAGCGAGUGGAGGCGUGGCGGCGACGGAGCACCCAACGGCGCCAACGGGAACCCCCCUACACUGCAGAAUGGUACGGUCCUCCC
Molecule: long non-coding RNA, 798 nt
Filed under: Gallus gallus (chicken)
Lineage: Eukaryota; Metazoa; Chordata; Aves; Galliformes; Phasianidae
Source: RNAcentral